Molecule: long non-coding RNA, 2821 nt
Filed under: Cavia porcellus (domestic guinea pig)
Lineage: Eukaryota; Metazoa; Chordata; Mammalia; Rodentia; Caviidae
Description: lncRNA (ENSCPOG00000033445.1)
Source: RNAcentral
UUGACGGGCACGCGCAUUAAAGAGAAACGCCGGCUAGGGGUAGGGACUCGCCCCAAGAACGGUCAUGAGACCGCAGGGGGUGGGUUUGUUCUGCAGUCCUUUGCAGCCCCUGACUUCACAACUUGCCUCAGAGCUUUUGCAAAGUAGCUGCGAGGACUGCCUCUGUGGACACAUUCACCUAAACUCGUGUGCUAGCGGUGCCCACAUGCACCCAAGAAAAUGUCACAGUUGUUUUUCAGACCUUGUUCAUUGGCAGCUGGGAGCCAGGAUGCAGCAGUGUCAACGUCCAUCUUGUGGAAAGGAUUGGAGAAGGUUUCACUGCUUGAUUGCUGAAGCUGGUUCCAACAGAAGUACUUCAUUUGUCUGGAGCUGUUUUACCGCUGUUAGCUAUUUAUAAAGUUCAAAAAAGGAAUAGUACAAAUCAGAAUUAUACUUCCUAUUCUUUCAAGGAAUAUCUGUUGAGUACCAGGCAUUCAAUACUAGUCAGGUGUGGUGGUGCAUACCUGGUAACCUUAGCAAUUGGGAGGCUGAGGCCAGUCUGGGCUAUUUAGUAAGUUCAAGGCAAGCCUAAACUACACAGCAAGACCCUGUCUAAAACGAAACAAACCCCCCAAAACAGGAAUAUGGAGUCUGGGUGGUAGGGCUAUAGCUUUGAAGAAGUAAAAAAAAUCCCUGCCUCACAGAGCUCUCCUCUUCCUGACACUUCCCUGUUUUAUAUUCCACAUCUAAUAUAAUAGCAAAUUCUAUUGACUCUGCCUUCAAGAAUAUAUCCUGAAAGUGUCCAUGUCUUCCUAGUCCCUCCACACUGCUAAUGCCCUGAUUCAACCCUCCACACCGCUAAUGCCCUGAUUUACUCAGCCAUGGUCUCCUACCUGAUUGUUCUACUUCCCACUAAUCCAUCUACCACACCCACCCCAACAAACAGCAGUCUGAGUAGGUUGUUUGUUUUGGUACCAGGGAUUGAACUCAUGACCUUAUGCUUGUCAGGCAGGUUGAGUAGAUUUUUAAAAACAUAGGUUAGGUUAUACCUCUUCUCUGAAAGGCCAGUGGCUUUGCAUUCUACAGCAACCACCGGUUCUUCUGAUGACUUCAUGCAGGAGCCCUAUGACUUCAAGUUGUAUAGUUUCACCUGAUCCUCAUCUCUCUCCAGCCACACUCACUUGCUGUUAUAAAACACACCAAGCAUUCCUCAGUCUCAAGACUCUUGUACUUCGUAUUUCCAAACAUUCUUCUCUCUUACUCUACCUGUAGAACUUCCUAUCUCCUUUGUAGGCUUUAUCUUUCUCAGAACCAUCAUCUGACAUGGUUUGUUUUAAUCUUUCCCUUCUUCCUCUUCCUUCUCCAAUCCUUGCCCCACACCAUCCAAUACAUGCAUACAUGUAAGCACCUUAAAUAAAAGGGUAUUGUUGGCUGGGGUUCACUGCUAUAGAUAUUCAUUAGUACUGGUUGGGAGGGAAAUCAGCUUCUUUCAUUUGAUAACAUAAUAGACAUCUUUCUAGUUUCUUCAGUAAAGAUCAUUAGUAAUUUCGGGAUUCUUAAUUUGUAGUAGGCAAUGUGCUAAGUGUUUUAUAUGCACAUACCUGGGUUGGUUUCAUUUCACUGACCUGGAACAGAUCAAAAUUCUGAGGUACAGAGAGAUUUAGUUACUUGCCCACAAUUUCACAGCUAGUUAGUAGCAAAAACUAAGAUUUGGAAUCAGUUUGGCUGUGGAAUCUGUGAACCUCAGGACAGUUUACCAUGAUCCCAGUGUACAAACACAGAUUUUUUUGUUUUUUCAUUUCUCUCCCGUAAGACUCAAAUUUGGUCUCUAAGAUAAAUAGUUUACCUUGUUUAUAUUUCCUGCUCUGGCCCAUCGAUCUGUCAUCAUGAACUCUCUUUCCUUUUCUACGUUUAUUUCUAGGCUUUAAUUGAGUCUAUAUUUUCCACCUUAGAAUUGACAAAUGACAAUUUUUUUUUUUUGAAGAAUUCUUAUCACUUUGUUGCUGCCAACUUCAUGAGAAGGUAGAAUCACAAUUAGUUUUCCAGCUUGACUGGAUGGGUGAUAGAAAAGACUCUCUGUGGAGAAUUGGACUCGAUUUUAGCAGAAAGCAUCAUAGUGGUAGAGUACUGCCACUUAUUUAGGCAGCUGUCCUCCUGUUAGGCACCCAGUGAUUAGGAGUUAUUAAAUAUUUGGAUUAUGUUAUGCAAGAAACAUCAUAUUAGCUCAGAUCCACCUAAGAGAACAGAAACAAAGACAAUAAUUGUUUACUUAAUGCCUGGUUUAAGGGAAGCUAUGGGCACCCUGUAGUACCCAGAAUAUUUUGGAUAUGAAAGAAAGCCAAUGCUAAUAAGGGACAAUUGAAGUUCCAUUAAUGCUGAGACCCCCAAGGACCCAAUUACUUAGUACAGUAUUGUCACAAAGAUGGUGGCUAAAAAGUAUUACAUGAAUGAAUGAAUUUCUAACAGAAAAUGGAAGAGUACCAAGGACUAAUUCUCCUGACUUCCUCAUUUGGCCCAAGACUGCCACCUAGGCCACUAUGUAGGAUUACAUAUGUUGUAAACUGUAACAUAUCAGGGGACGAUAUUCAGGUAAAUUAAAAUGUCAAUACAUAACUGUGGUUGCUUCUCUGAGUUUCAGCCCUUGUCCAAAUAUGGUAAUCAGUCUUUAUGAUGACCUCAAUGAUCUUGGUAAUCAUACCCUUAUAGAUUUCCCUACCAUUUUCUGUAAGUGUUGGUAGAAUGCUGAGAAAUCAUUGUAUAAGGUAGAGGUAGGAAAAUCAUUUGAAUCCAGGAAUUCCAGACCAGCUUGGAUAACAUAGCAAAACCCCAUCACAAGGAACGA